RNAcentral lists this ribosomal RNA (418 nucleotides) under uncultured bacterium. RNAcentral's name for it is "bacterial SSU rRNA". It matches the Rfam family "Bacterial small subunit ribosomal RNA", at positions 358 to 773 of the family's 1533-position model. The record is from RNAcentral.
GGAAUAUUGGUCAAUGGGCGCAAGCCUGAACCAGCCAUGCCGCGUGCAGGAUGACGGUCCUAUGGAUUGUAAACUGCUUUUGUACGAGCAGAAACACUACUUCGUGAAGUAGCUUGUCGGUAUCGUAAGAAUAAGGAACGGCUAACGCAGUGCAAGCAGCCGCGGUAAUACGGAGGAUCCAAGCGUUAUCCGGAAUCAUUGGGUUUAAAGGGUCCGUAGGCGGUCUUAUAAGUCAGUGGUGAAAUCUCCCCGCUCAACGGGGAAACUGCCAUUGUUACUGUAGGACUUGAAUAAUUAGGAAGUAACUAGAAUAUGUAGUGUAGCGGUGAAAUGCUUAGAGAUUACAUGGAAUACCAAUUGCGAAGGCAGGUUACUACUAAUUCAUUGACGCUGAUGGACGAAAGCGUGGGUAGCGAAC